Long non-coding RNA from Hemicordylus capensis (graceful crag lizard), 1521 nucleotides. RefSeq lists it as uncharacterized. Lineage: Eukaryota; Metazoa; Chordata; Lepidosauria; Squamata; Cordylidae. The record is from RefSeq and is a predicted model, not a curated record. The transcript is spliced from 3 exons.
UCAAACUUUCAGUCCAUCACUUGAAGACUUAGCUUGCAAGUUCUGCAACAGAUACAUUACAUAUGUCUGUAGACUGUGUAACUUGCACACUUGUCAUCCCAUAUUCCUGGUAUAGUAUGCUUAACAUAAUUUCUAAGUUUCUGCCACCCACUAUUGUGCCAUAAACACACAAUGUAUCAUUUUUAACCUUCCCCUGCUUUCUGAGUGUAAGCCAGUCCUUAUCUGUCUGAAAUGAUCAACUGCUGUCACCCUCAAGAAGACUCCCAUUGUUCUUUAAGUUCUGUUCUUCAGUUGUCCACCAUUCUGUUGAAAAUGGAGGAGGGGCAAGGAAGGUCAGUAUUGUUUUCACUUAAAAUGGUAGGAGAAGGGGGAUUAUGUAACUAAGUGAAUCCUGUCAACCUGUGCCAUUUCCUCAAUAACUUCAUGGAAGAUAAACCUGGAUUAUAAACAUUCUAAACAUAUUAUGUAUGUUGUUGGAAGGCAGAAAAAACAAGGUUUGAUUUUCCUCUAUCUUUGGUUGCUAAGACGCACCUACAGUAUGCUUUGCUGGAAAGAUUAAUGUGGUUUAUUUAUUUAUUUAUUUAUUUGGAAGAGACAGAAAGGCCAUUCCUCUCUGAUGUCUAAGUAUAUAAGUUCCCUUGUACUCUGUGAUGAAGGAAGCUGAGUGCCAUUUUGAGAUCCAGCAUCACCAUCUGUGGCAUACUGAACAAAAUAUGCAGCAAGACUCCAAGAAUGACCCUGUUCUAAGGCUGGCCUGCAAGAGAGAAGGUCAUCCACCAGGGCAACCAAGGCAGUUUCCAUCCCAUGUCCAGGUCGGAAGCCAGACUGGAAAGGAUCUAAGUAAUCAGAUUCAUCCAGGACUGCCCAUAGCUGAGACACCACAAUGCUCUCCAACACCUUGCCCAAGAAGGAUGCCUUGAGGAGAAGAAGUCCAGGAGGAUGCCAGCAUGGCUAACAGUUUGAGGCAGCUAUCCAACAAUUCCUAAAGUAUCCUGAGAGCGAUUACAGAUUACUUUUCAACCAGUUAAUUACGGAAAACUUGUUUUUACUUAGUCAUUCUAAUUAAUUUUGCUUAACUAAACCAGAUUCAAUCCAGUUAUUUGCCUUAAACCCUAGAGGAAUUUCAGACACACAGGAAAUUGUACAAAAGGCAUCACAUGAAUGUUCAAUGCAUUUCAACAGUGGUAUAUUUUGUUCAUCCUCGUAUAUUUUGAAGUUAUUUUCUGAUAUUGUAAUUCAUAUAUGUAAAUCUUGAGUUUUGUUUUACAAAACUAAAAGGAAUUGUUUUAAUGUAUAGAAAGGCAAAAUUGCAGAAAGGGAAAGAGACAGAGUGAGCAUGUAUACUUUAUUUUUCUUAUUUUGCUUUAUAGAUAGCGAUGCACACUUUAUUUUUAUGGCACAAUUUCAUUGCCAUAUAAAUGAUUUUGUUUCUAGUUCUUACCCUCUCAGUUUUACUAAUUAGAAUUUUAGUUUCUCUGGUGAUGUUUAAUUAUUGAAGCUUUUUUAUCUAAAUAAAAGUGG